ACGCGGGAUGGAGCAGCUCGGUAGCUCGUCGGGCUCAUAACCCGAAGGUCGUAGGUUCAAAUNACUGGUUCGAGCCC
Molecule: transfer RNA, 77 nt
Filed under: Streptococcus pneumoniae
Lineage: Bacteria; Bacillati; Bacillota; Bacilli; Lactobacillales; Streptococcaceae
Description: tRNA-Met(cat)
Rfam family: tRNA
About the family: Transfer RNA (tRNA) molecules are approximately 80 nucleotides in length. Their secondary structure includes four short double-helical elements and three loops (D, anti-codon, and T loops).
Source: RNAcentral